AGCCAUCCGCUCAAGCUCCUCCUCCAGCGCCCGAAGCGAAUCGGGCCUUUCCAGCAAUUUGGGGCGAACAAACGUCAAUCGACGCCUCUCCCGAUUGCCAUUCGCCAUCUUCUCCAAAUCCGCAUCCCAUCCCCGCUCCUUAUACCUAUCGUGCCUGACCGUGAAGCCCUUCCCGAAACGGCCAAAGCCCGUGUUCUCCAUCGUGUACUUGUCCUUGGCCAGGAAUUCUUUCGCGUGCAUUGCGUUUUGGAAGAUGAUCUCCGCGAACCCCGUGUGAUGGUGGAUCUCAACACUGUAGAGCGCACCCUCGCAGAUCCUCGCGGUAAGCUUGUUCAAGCUGCCGAGUGUAAAUUUGCCCUCGACGAUUAUGAUGCCGGCUCUCCCAGUCCGUCGUCCCCUUGUAGCAGGAGCUGGUUGCGGUGGCAUGGCUGGGUGUGACAACAACGCUUGCACAACAGGGCGGAUAGGGACCAGUGGAAUUGCUUUGGUCUCGGCUUUGGGUGGAGUCAUGCUGUGGAAUCCAUUGGUUUGACGGACGGCCUGAGGGGGAGCUGCGACUGCUAUCUUUGCCCACAGAUUAGCCUGCAGAGGAGCCGGUGGAGAAGACGCCAAGUCAAGGAGGCUCUUUUCCUUCGGCUUGCAAACUUGCACUUGAAUCUUCCCGCGUUCAUCGUGGCUCUCGUUCGCACCUACGUUGCCAUUGAGCCGGUUGGCCUGCUUCUAAAUGAAUAUAAGCAGGGGGGAAGAAGAAGAAGAAGAAGAAGAAGAAGAAGAAAAGUCCCAUGAGCCAUACAAAUCCCUCCACCAGCCAGGGCCCUGAAGUACUUAGUAUGGGAUAAAAGCCAAGUACGUACUGCUGCAGGAUGCAUCACGAUCUCGGAGUCUGUGAGCUUCGACAUGACUUCACCAAACUCCUCGAUGAUAUCGUGAGUGUGCUUUGAGAUAGUAUUGGCCGCAUUAUGGAGCUGAAGCUUGCGCAACUGUAUUCGGUGAGGGAAAGAUGUGGUUAUUAUAAAAUUCAAACAUCCAAAUGUUCUCCCCGUUUUUCUUUUCUUUUCUUUUCUUUUUCGUCAAGUCCUUUUGACUUAAACUAUGGAAAUUCCCAUUCCAUAACUAUUCCUAACUUUUCUUAAUUUUCAGAAGAAAAAACUUACAUGUUCAGUAAUGUUCCUCAGUUUUUCUACAACUACCAUCAUCUCAUCAUCAAUGCGUUCGCGCCCCUCAUUCUCCAUGGCCAGGACCUGACCUUCCUUGCCCUGUUGUCAGUGGCCCUUUUGUUGUAAAAGGAGCAUGUGAAGUGGAGAUAAGUGGAGAUGUGACAAUGAUGCGAAGAGCACAAGCCUGUGGUAAAACAAGUGAAGAUGCACACAAAAUCAAUCAGGUGAAAUAAUGGAAGCUCAUGAAUUAAUUGUCUUUUAAAAUAGGAGGGAAAAGAGGUAGAGACAGUAACAGAUAUGAGCUUGUGCAAAGCUAGACAAGAGAUGAGAACAUAUGUGAGAGAGAGAGAGAGAGAGAGAGAGAGAGAGAGAGAGAGAGCAGGACAGAGGAAUAAAGAAGAAGUGAAGUGAAGUGAAGUGUCCAGAAGAUGUGUUAAACAAAAAGAAUCAACAAGAACAAAUAAGCAA
This 1625-nucleotide small RNA is filed under the name Histoplasma capsulatum G186AR. Its description in RNAcentral is "hypothetical RNA". The record is from RNAcentral. Lineage: Eukaryota; Fungi; Ascomycota; Eurotiomycetes; Onygenales; Ajellomycetaceae.